UGCAGUCGAACGGCAGCGCGGGAGCAAUCCUGGCGGCGAGUGGCGAACGGGUGAGUAAUACAUCGGAACGUGCCCAAUCGUGGGGGAUAACGCAGCGAAAGCUGUGCUAAUACCGCAUACGAUCUACGGAUGAAAGCAGGGGACCGCAAGGCCUUGCGCGAAUGGAGCGGCCGAUGGCAGAUUAGGUAGUUGGUGGGGUAAAGGCUCACCAAGCCAACGAUCUGUAGCUGGUCUGAGAGGACGACCAGCCACACUGGGACUGAGACACGGCCCAGACUCCUACGGGAGGCAGCAGUGGGGAAUUUUGGACAAUGGGCGCAAGCCUGAUCCAGCCAUGCCGCGUGCAGGAUGAAGGCCUUCGGGUUGUAAACUGCUUUUGUACGGAACGAAAAGGUUCUUUCUAAUAAAGAGAGCUCAUGACGGUACCGUAAGAAUAAGCACCGGCUAACUACGUGCCAGCAGCCGCGGUAAUACGUAGGGUGCAAGCGUUAAUCGGAAUUACUGGGCGUAAAGCGUGCGCAGGCGGUGAUGUAAGACAGUUGUGAAAUCCCCGGGCUCAACCUGGGAACUGCAUCUGUGACUGCAUCGCUGGAGUGCGGCAGAGGGGGAUGGAAUUCCGCGUGUAGCAGUGAAAUGCGUAGAUAUGCGGAGGAACACCGAUGGCGAAGGCAAUCCCCUGGGC
This 682-nucleotide ribosomal RNA is filed under the name Variovorax sp. M47C6A. RNAcentral's name for it is "bacterial SSU rRNA". It matches the Rfam family "Bacterial small subunit ribosomal RNA", at positions 56 to 734 of the family's 1533-position model. The record is from RNAcentral. Lineage: Bacteria; Pseudomonadati; Pseudomonadota; Betaproteobacteria; Burkholderiales; Comamonadaceae.